Molecule: long non-coding RNA, 3581 nt
Organism: Gallus gallus (chicken)
Lineage: Eukaryota; Metazoa; Chordata; Aves; Galliformes; Phasianidae
Exons: 3
Source: RefSeq, a predicted model, not a curated record
UUAUUUGUACUUCUUGUUUUUCAGCUCUCAGACUGAACCAGUUUAUAAAUUUGUAAACGUCCUAAGUAAGUAAAAUGAAGCAACCAUAUCUGUGGUUUUCUGACUUUCCAAAACUAGUUUAUGACGAAGAUUUACUUCAUACAACCUUUUCUGUUUUCAGAAUGGAUUUUCCACUAUCUAACAAAAAGAAAAGAGAGAAAAGAAAGGUCCUUUUAUCUACUAAUGGAGGGCUAUUCUCCUCCAUUUUAUUGCUGCCUUGAGGUAUUGCAGAAGAUUAAUCAUUUUUCUGUUGAAGAGUCAGCAUAAAUUCAAGAAUUUAAUAAUGCAAACCAUAAAACCUCUUUUUAAUGAUCUAAUCACUGUUUUUUUCUAUGAAAAUCUGUGAAUAAAUUAUAAUAAAAGUUAAGUAUCCUUGCCUUGUAUUAACCACCUUUGCAGACGGUACCCUUGAAGCAGGAGAAGGUCUGAAAUAGUCCCCACAUUUGGUGGACACAGAUCAAUUUAUGGGACGAGAAGAAUGCCUGUCCUGGGGCCCUGCUUACUGGAACUCCCCUACUAGAAAACUCUGAAGAUCACAGCAGGAAAGGGCCCAGCAUGAUCACUGCCCAGACUGGUUAUGUCUGCACCGCAGAGAUGUAGUCUUCGAGACACUGAAGUCCCACAAUAGUAUGCAGAUGAAAGAAGCUGAGUGCUUUGUGAUUACUGUCACCUUCAGCAGAAUGUGAGUGCUGACUCAGUGGGAAGCCUUGAACAAUUCCAAGUGUCCAAGUUGACAUCAUUACCAAGUACUGGUAAGUGCUACAGAGAAUCCAUGGCAAAACCCUGUAUUUUACUGUUCAUAUGCUUCAAAAUCUCUUGAUUAAAAGGUUGACUGCGAGAGAGUGUUUUUAUAUUGAAAAAAAUGGAUUUUAGUCACUGAUUUUACUGGACUGACUUGCAAACUUAAUUUCAGUCUUUAUAAAGCUCUGUCUGGCGUAUUUGAAAACAUUGUUACGCUAGAAUUUUGUGUGUUAUAAUGCAUCCUUGUGCAGCACACAAUAGUGGGGUGGUUGCAGUACUUCAAUACACACACAGCAAUAUUGGCUGUGUGCCGGACUCACACAAGGUGAGCCCAAGUAAAGGGCAUUUCAUUUGAGGACAGAGCAGGAUUGAAAGCAGGAAAACCAUCUGUUAAAAAUCCAUCUCUCUGUUGUGAAGUGCCAUGAGCCUCUGCUGCUCUUUUGAAGCUCUGACUUCAAUGGGAGUGAAACUGAACAGGGCCCAGGCUAACACAGUGCUGUUUAUUUAUGUGGUGUAAUGUAAGUAAACAGAGCAAAAGUAAUUUGGUGUUUUAUCACAGCGUGUGAUAAGCCAUUAUCUCAUGUUUUCUAUGGAAGAUAGUCUCAGCUGAAAAAGUUGGUAACACAGUAGGCUAUUAAUAGGAUGUGUGAUGUGAUUACUUUUUUGGAUUACUGCAAUAUGUGAUUACUUUUAGGGGUUGGUAGAAAGAAACUCUAUUAAAUGAUAAUUAUAGGACUGUAUUCACUUUAAAGUUCUGUAAUAGUCCCAAACAUUGGAGUUUUCAUUAACUGUUCUCCACAGUUAAUAAAGCCAUUUUUCUCUGAAACUAGUAAUUCACUCUGAAAGUGAUGGCAUGGCAUGUAGCUGCUCAGAUUUAUAAAUGAAAAAAGAAACUUUAAAUGAUCAUGUAAAUUAUUUGACUUGCAAAUAGUAACACACUCUCUCUGAAAAGUUCCUUAUAUGGAAGUACAUAGAAUUUUAACUCUAUCAUAUCUUAUAUUUAAAAAAAAAAAAACAGAAUUCAGAAAUAGUUCAAUUAACAACAUGUAUUCAGUAAAGAUUAUAUAAAAAUGAUGAAAAGACUGCUUGCAAAUGGAUGGAUUGCUUUACACUAUUUAUUUCCUAGUUACAAAAUUAUACAGGAAGAUUCGGUCUUAAAUAUCAUCUAGUUUACAUAACCUUUUGCACAACUGUCAGCCUCUGCAUUCAACAUACAUUACUAUUUCCACUGCAAAACAUUUUUAUCCGGACUAACUUUUUCAUUAAAAUAAUAAAAUUAAUUUGCUGCGUGUGGAAAUGAAGGAUUAACGGAGUUGUCUGAAGUACGACCAAAAUAUCGUUUGCCUGCAGCUGUAUCAGAGCAUCUCAAUUCUGACCCAUGCAUUCUCUCUUAGAUUAAAUACUCUAAAACACUUUCAGUUUGAUGUGAUGACCAUAAAUUAUCUCUUAGGGAGAAAUUUGGCCUCAGGGUGUCAAGUAAAUAAUUCAUUUUUAUUUACUUCUCUAAAAAUACAUUCAUCAAUUUUUCAAAAAUUGUGUUUUACUACAUUAAAGAGAAUAAAUAUAUCCUCUCCACUGGAUCCUUUAUGAAUUACUUAUGUAUGUACAAGUGUCAAGCACCAGGCAACAAUACUACUUUGAUCCUUCAAGAAUUAUGGAGUUUUUGCUUUGGAACUCCAAUGACAACUACCCUCACUUCAGGUUUUUAUAGAGGUAGAAAGCAUGCCAGAACAAAACACUUGGGAGAAAAAAAGUUGUUGCCAGUGAUGUUGACUUUUGUAUUUCUGGCAAUCUAGACUGAAUCCUUUGGAUUCAUUAUUUAAGCCAGUUCAACUGAGUACUACAUUUCAGAAGAGUUGAGUUUCCCUCGAACAUUAAAGUUUGCUAAUUAAACUGAUUUCUUAGAAAGUGAAACUGUAUUUUUUUUCCCAUACAGGAAAAAAGCAAAUGAACAUUGAACAUGAAUGUCAUACUGAUUACCAUUAAGUAAAUAUAAUAAAUAUUUAUAAUGGCUGAAUUUGUAUUUUCCUUUUCUCCUUCCCUUUUUUUUUUUCCCUUUUGGUCUCUGGCUUCCUCAGCCUUUGGCAAGUCAGGUUCACUGAUGUUACCAUGUUAGAAGAUCAAAUAAAUUCUGGCUUUCAUCUAUGCCUUUUUUUUCCCCUGUACAAAUUUCUUACCUUUUAUUGUACUCAUCGUGACUGCACUACUUCAUUGUAAGAAUACCUCAUUAACAGAAAAUUGGCAAAGGGAUCAUGAUACCCAUAUGCUGAGAUGCACUCACUCUGAACUUCCAUUCCAAGGCAAUAGUUUUCUACAAUAAAUUAGUGUGGUACUGACUUUAUUCCAUUAGACCCCAGUCCGCAUUCUCUUGUGGCCCAAAAACUAGCAAGCAGAGUUAGAUGAACAAAUAAAUACAAGCAAUGUAAUGGAGGAUAUAUUCCUCCACUAAUUCUAGCUUACCAAGUAGUUUUGUUUAAAUCAAAGAGACCUGCCAUUCACAUUUAGAGAACAAUUUUGUCAAUGCUUUUUACCCUCUUCCUGGGAAAUGAAGAGGCUGUGGAUUUACAUGAAGGGCAUUAUUAUGUAAUUUAAAAAAUGUAUUCAGGAAAAUGAAAGUGACUUAAGCGUUGCAUUAUUCCAAGAACAUCCCCAUAUUUGAGCUGUAUUUCUUCUUCCUCCUACUCUAAAUCUCUAGAAAAUAGGCACUCUGUCAAAAUUAAUAAAAAUGCUGUUGCAUGACAUUAAGUUGGCCAUUAGUUUUCCUUUGGACAUUAUUAUAAAGGAAACCUGCAUACAAACCU